UUUUGUAGCAGAAAAGAACAUAGGACCAAAAAAGUCAAGGGACUUGUCCAUGAUAAAGCAGUUGGUUGCACACUGAGCUGAUCUGCUGCCCAUGAAUCUAGACACACUUGGCUGAAAACUCUGUAGAUUGUUUUUUCAAUUUCAUCCUGUUAAUAUUCCCAUGGGAAAGCUAAUGGAUAUAUAAUCCCUUUAAGUGAUAAAUAAUGUUCUCCUGUUUACGUGUCAGGGGAAAUUAGAGCAGGAACUCAUAACUUGCUUCCUGUCCCCCAUCUUGUGCUUCCAAACCCUUAGUUCAGGCUGAGGUUUGCUGUAAAAUCUGUGUGUUCAAUGGAUGGAUUUCCAGCUUGAAGGACUUUUGCCUUUGAUCACCGUUGAAACAAAUGAAGAGAUGGAUAUGGCAUUAAGAAUUGUGACCCGAGGUGCAGUUUUACCUUGUGAAGUGGGAAUAACCAAAUGGAAGCAGGAUGAGUUCGGAAUCCAAGGAGUUUGGGUCUGGUAAGUGAGCCAUGAUGCUGCAGUUCUCCGGGUUGUAUUGUGUCUGUCUGAUUUGAUAGAGGGCCCUGUAGAAGCUGAGGCUGAGGCUACUAGAAGCUCCAGGCCCAGCAGAGAUGUGAAGACAGGUGAAAACCGGGGGAUUAGGUGACUUCCUAGUUCCACAAUUG
Molecule: long non-coding RNA, 662 nt
Filed under: Aotus nancymaae (Ma's night monkey)
Lineage: Eukaryota; Metazoa; Chordata; Mammalia; Primates; Aotidae
Description: lncRNA (ENSANAG00000038703.1)
Source: RNAcentral